This 449-nucleotide ribosomal RNA is filed under the name uncultured bacterium. RNAcentral describes it as "bacterial SSU rRNA". It matches the Rfam family "Bacterial small subunit ribosomal RNA", at positions 330 to 793 of the family's 1533-position model. The record is from RNAcentral.
UCCAGACUCCUACGGGAGGCAGCAGUGGGGAAUAUUGGACAAUGGGGGGAACCCUGAUCCAGCGACGCCGCGUGAGUGAAGAAGUAUUUCGGUAUGUAAAGCUCUAUCAGCAGGGAAGAAAGAAAUGACGGUACCUGACUAAGAAGCCCCGGCUAACUACGUGCCAGCAGCCGCGGUAAUACGUAGGGGGCAAGCGUUAUCCGGAUUUACUGGGUGUAAAGGGAGCGUAGACGGUUACGCAAGUCUGAUGUGAAAGGCUGGGGCUCAACCCCAGGACUGCAUUGGAAACUGUUAGGCUGGAGUGUCGGAGAGGUAAGCGGAAUUCCUAGUGUAGCGGUGAAAUGCGUAGAUAUUAGGAGAAACACCAGUGGCGAAGGCGGCUUACUGGACGACAACUGACGCUGAGGCUCGAAAGCGUGGGGAGCAAACAGGAUUAGAUACCCUGGUAC